AUUGAACGCUGGCGGCAUGCCUUACACAUGCAAGUCGAACGGCAGCACGGGUGCUUGCACCUGGUGGCGAGUGGCGAACGGGUGAGUAAUACAUCGGAACAUGUCCUGUAGUGGGGGAUAGCCCGGCGAAAGCCGGAUUAAUACCGCAUACGAUCUACGGAUGAAAGCGGGGGACCUUCGGGCCUCGCGCUAUAGGGUUGGCCGAUAGCGGAUUAGCUAGUUGGUGGGGUAAAGGCCUACCAAGGCGACGAUCAGUAGCUGGUCUGAGAGGACGACCAGCCACCCUGGGACUGAGACACGGCCCAGACUCCUACGGGAGGCAGCAGUGGGGAAUUUUGGACAAUGGGCGAAAGCCUGAUCCAGCAAUGCCGCGUGUGUGAAGAAGGCCUUCGGGUUGUAAAGCACUUUUGUCCGGAAAGAAAUCCUUGGCUCUAAUACAGUCGGGGGAUGACGGUACCGGAAGAAUAAGCACCGGCUAACUACGUG
This 486-nucleotide ribosomal RNA is filed under the name uncultured bacterium. RNAcentral's name for it is "partial 16S ribosomal RNA". It matches the Rfam family "Bacterial small subunit ribosomal RNA", at positions 30 to 507 of the family's 1533-position model. The record is from RNAcentral.